ACUGGAUUCUUCGGAUGAAGGUCUGGUGACUGAGUGGCGGACGGGUGAGUAACGCGUGGGUAACCUGCCCUGUACAGGGGGAUAACAGCUGGAAACGGCUGCUAAUACCGCAUAAGCGCACGAGGAGACAUCUCCUUGUGUGAAAAACUUCGGUGGUACAGGAUGGGCCCGCGUCUGAUUAGCUGGUUGGCAGGGUAACGGCCUACCAAGGCAACGAUCAGUAGCCGGUCUGAGAGGAUGAACGGCCACAUUGGAACUGAGACACGGUCCAAACUCCUACGGGAGGCAGCAGUGGGGAAUAUUGCACAAUGGGGGAAACCCUGAUGCAGCAACGCCGCGUGAGUGAAGAAGUAUUUCGGUAUGUAAAGCUCUAUCAGCAGGGAAGAUAAUGACGGUACCUGACUAAGAAGCUCCGGCUAAAUACGUGCCAGCAGCCGCGGUAAUACGUAUGGAGCAAGCGUUAUCCGGAUUUACUGGGUGUAAAGGGUGCGUAGGUGGCAGUGCAAGUCAGAUGUGAAAGGCCGGGGCUCAACCCCGGAGCUGCAUUUGAAACUGCAUAGCUAGAGUACAGGAGAGGCAGGCGGAAUUCCUAGUGUAGCGGUGAAAUGCGUAGAUAUUAGGAGGAACACCAGUGGCGAAGGCGGCCUGCUGGACUGUUACUA
This 662-nucleotide ribosomal RNA is filed under the name uncultured bacterium. RNAcentral's name for it is "bacterial SSU rRNA". It matches the Rfam family "Bacterial small subunit ribosomal RNA", at positions 66 to 742 of the family's 1533-position model. The record is from RNAcentral.